RNAcentral lists this ribosomal RNA (451 nucleotides) under uncultured bacterium. RNAcentral describes it as "bacterial SSU rRNA". It matches the Rfam family "Bacterial small subunit ribosomal RNA", at positions 335 to 802 of the family's 1533-position model. The record is from RNAcentral.
ACUCCUACGGGAGGCAGCAGUGGGGAAUAUUGCACAAUGGGCGCAAGCCUGAUGCAGCAACGCCGCGUGAGCGAUGAAGGCCUUCGGUCGUAAAGCUCUGUCCUCAAGGAAGAAUAAAUGACGGUACUUGAGGAGGAAGCCCCGGCUAACUACGUGCCAGCAGCCGCGGUAAUACGUAGGGGGCAAGCGUUAUCCGGAAUCACUGGGGCGUAAAGGGGUGCGUAGGCGGUUUUCAAGUCAGAAGUGAAAGGCUAUGGCUCAACCAUAGUAAGCUUUUGAAACUGUUAAACUUGAGUGCAGGAGAGGAAAGUGGAAUUCCUAGUGUAGAGGUGAAAUUCGUAGAUAUUAGGAGGAACACCAGUGGCGAAGGCGACUUUCUGGACUGUAACUGACGCUGAGGCACGAAAGCGUGGGGAGCGAACAGGAUUAGAUACCCUGGUAGCACAGAGAG